UUCAGCAAUUUUUAGAGCACAUUCCUUAACUUCAGGAGAUAAUGCAUAAGCUAUGGCUCUUGAUAGCACAUUUGCAGCUACCCUGAUUCUGAAGUCAUCCAUUUUAUCAGGAACCAAAUGGUUUCUUUUCAAUGGUUCUGGAGCAACUCCAAGCCAGUACAUCCUCUCAGCCCAAUAAAAUUGAUCCAACAUAAAUGGACAUAGUACCUGUGGGAUUCCCGCAUAUAGAGC
RNAcentral lists this unclassified non-coding RNA (231 nucleotides) under Hevea brasiliensis (rubber tree). The record is from RNAcentral. Lineage: Eukaryota; Viridiplantae; Streptophyta; Magnoliopsida; Malpighiales; Euphorbiaceae.